This 497-nucleotide ribosomal RNA is filed under the name uncultured bacterium. RNAcentral describes it as "partial 16S ribosomal RNA". It matches the Rfam family "Bacterial small subunit ribosomal RNA", at positions 28 to 507 of the family's 1533-position model. The record is from RNAcentral.
GAUGAACGCUGGCGGCGUGCCUAAUACAUGCAAGUCGAGCGAACAGACGAGGAGCUUGCUCCUCUGACGUUAGCGGCGGACGGGUGAGUAACACGUGGAUAACCUACCUAUAAGACUGGGAUAACUUCGUGAAACCGGAGCUAAUACCGGAUAAUAUAUUGAACCGCAUGGUUCAAUAGUGAAAGACGGUUUUCCUGUCACUUAUAGAUGGUUCCGCGCCGCAUUAGCUAGUUGGUAAGGUAACGGCUUACCAAGGCGACGAUGCGUAGCCGACCUGAGAGGAUGAUCGGCCACACUGGAACUGAGACACGGUCCAGACUCCUACGGGAGGCAGCAGUAGGGAAUCUUCCGCAAUGGGCGAAAGCCUGACGGAGCAACGCCGCGUGAGUGAUGAAGGUCUUCGGAUCGUAAAACUCUGUUAUUAGGGAAGAACAAAUGUGUAAGUAACUAUGCACGUCUUGACGGUACCUAAUCAGAAAGCCACGGCUAACUACGUG